Molecule: ribosomal RNA, 500 nt
Filed under: uncultured bacterium
Lineage: Bacteria
Description: partial 16S ribosomal RNA
Rfam family: Bacterial small subunit ribosomal RNA
Source: RNAcentral
AGUGAACGCUGGCGGUAGGCCUAACACAUGCAAGUCGAGCGGUAGAGAGAAGCUUGCUUCUCUUGAGAGCGGCGGACGGGUGAGUAAUGCCUAGGAACCUGCCUGGUAGUGGGGGAUAACGUUCGGAAACGGACGCCAAUACCGCAUACGUCCUACGGGAGAAAGCAGGGGACCUUCGGGCCUUGCGCUAUCAGAUGAGCCUAGGUCGGAUUAGCUAGUUGGUGGGGUAAUGGCUCACCAAGGCGACGAUCCGUAACUGGUCUGAGAGGAUGAUCAGUCACACUGGAACUGCGACACGGUCCAGACUCCUACGGGAGGCAGCAGUGGGGAAUAUUGGACAAUGGGCGAAAGCCUGAUCCAGCCAUGCCGCGUGUGUGAAGAAGGUCUUCGGAUUGUAAAGCACUUUAAGUUGGGAGGAAGGGCAGUAAAUUAAUACUUUGCUGUUUUGACGUUACCGACAGAAUAAGCACCGGCUAACUCUGUGCCAGCCGCCGCCGUAA